GAUGAACGCUGGCGGCGUGCCUAAUACAUGCAAGUCGAGCGAACAGAUGAGGAGCUUGCUCCUCUGACGUUAGCGGCGGACGGGUGAGUAACACGUGGAUAACCUACCUAUAAGACUGGGAUAACUUCGGGAAACCGGAGCUAAUACCGGAUAAUAUAUUGAACCGCAUGGUUCAAUAGUGAAAGACGGUUUUGCUGUCACUUAUAGAUGGAUCCGCGCCGCAUUAGCUAGUUGGUAAGGUAACGGCUUACCAAGGCAACGAUGCGUAGCCGACCUGAGAGGGUGGUCGGCCACACUGGAACUGAGACACGGUCCAGACUCCUACGGGAGGGAGCAGUAGGGAAUCUUCCGCAAUGGGGGGAAGGCUGACGGGGCAACGCCGCGUGAGGGAUGAAAGGCUUCGGAUCGUAAAACUCUGUUUUUAGGGAAAAAAAAAUGUGUAAGUAACUAUGCCCGUCUUGACGGUACCUAAUCAGAAAGCCACGGCUAACUACGUG
RNAcentral lists this ribosomal RNA (497 nucleotides) under uncultured bacterium. Its description in RNAcentral is "partial 16S ribosomal RNA". It matches the Rfam family "Bacterial small subunit ribosomal RNA", at positions 28 to 507 of the family's 1533-position model. The record is from RNAcentral.